RNAcentral lists this ribosomal RNA (587 nucleotides) under uncultured bacterium. RNAcentral's name for it is "bacterial SSU rRNA". It matches the Rfam family "Bacterial small subunit ribosomal RNA", at positions 338 to 916 of the family's 1533-position model. The record is from RNAcentral.
CCUACGGGAGGCAGCAGUAGGGAAUCUUCCACAAUGGACGAAAGUCUGAUGGAGCAACGCCGCGUGAGCGAUGAAGGCCUUCGGGUCGUAAAGCUCUGUUGUUAGGGAAGAACAAGUAUCGGAGUAACUGCCGGUACCUUGACGGUACCUAACCAGAAAGCCACGGCUAACUACGUGCCAGCAGCCGCGGUAAUACGUAGGUGGCAAGCGUUGUCCGGAAUUAUUGGGCGUAAAGCGCGCGCAGGCGGUCCUUUAAGUCUGAUGUGAAAGCCCACGGCUCAACCGUGGAGGGUCAUUGGAAACUGGGGGACUUGAGUACAGAAGAGGAAAGCGGAAUUCCACGUGUAGCGGUGAAAUGCGUAGAGAUGUGGAGGAACACCAGUGGCGAAGGCGGCUUUCUGGUCUGUAACUGACGCUGAGGCGCGAAAGCGUGGGGAGCAAACAGGAUUAGAUACCCUGGUAGUCCACGCCGUAAACGAUGAGUGCUAAGUGUUAGGGGGUUUCCGCCCCUUAGUGCUGCAGCUAACGCAUUAAGCACUCCGCCUGGGGAGUACGGCCGCAAGGCUGAAACUCAAAUGAAUUGACGG